UAUUUAUUUUAUUAAUUAAAAAUUAUUAUUAUUAUUUAAUUUAUUUAUAUGAGGGAAUUAACUUUCAAUUAUUUAUUUUAUAGUAAUUAUUAAAUUUAAAAUUUAAUUUAUAGUGAAUUAAGGUAUUGUAAAAGAAUUAAAAUUAUUAAAAUUAUAAAAAGAAGAUUUAAUUUAUUGUAUCUUGGGUUUCAGAGAUAAUUAAUAUACUUAUUAGAAUAUUUAUUUUCUCGAAAUUUAAGGAUUUAAUUUUAUAUUUAAGUUAAUGUAUUAUAAUUAUUUAUAAUUUAGAAGUUUGAAAUUAAAAGUUAUUCGUCUUAUUUUAUAUCUAGUUUUUUUAGAAAUAAAUUUAAUUUAUUUUUUUUAAUAAUUUAUAGUUAAAAUAUAUAUAUAUAUAUAUAUAAUUAAAAAUUUAAUUAUUCUAUGGGUUAAUCUAUAGAUUAAAUUUUAAUAUUAAUUUUUUUAAAAAAAAAUUGUUUAUUAUAAAUUGAAUUUUUAUUUAAAUAAAUUUAUUAAAAUAAAUUCAUUUUAAAAAAAAAUUUCUAUUAUUUUUUUAUAAAUUUAUAAAGAAUUUAUAAUUAAUUAUUAAUUUAUAAUUUAUAAUGAUUAUAUGAGUACAUAUUUAUAUUUAAAUAAAAUUAUAUAAAUAUAAUUUAUAUAUAUAAAUUCGGCAAAAAUUGGGAAUUCAACUGUUUAACAAAAACAUUUCUUUUUGAUUUAAAUAAAAAGUAAUUUCUGCCCACUGAUAAUUAAUUUAAGGGCUGCAGUAAUUUAACUGUACUAAGGUAGCAUAAUAAAUUGUUUUUUAAUUGGAAACUGGAAUGAAUGAAUAAUUGAGAUUUAGACUUUAUUUAUAGAAUUUAUAGAAUUUUAUGAAUUAGUAAAAAAUCUAAUAUUUUUUAAAAAGACGAGAAGACCCUAUAGAAUUUAAUAUUUUGUUAUUUUAUAAUUAAUAAUAAAUGUUAAAGUUUAAUUAAAAUAUUUAGUUGGGGUGAUUAAAAAAUUUAUUUAACUUUUUUAUAUUUAAUCAAUAAUUUUUGAUUAUAUUUACUAAUUAUAUAUAAUUUAUUUAAUUUAAAUUACCUUAGGGAUAACAGCAUAAUUUUAAUUUUAAGAUGUUAUUAAAAUUAAAUAUUGUGACCUCGAUGUUGGAUUAGGAUAAAAUUUUUAUGAAGUAUUAAUUGUUUUUAGUCUGUUCGACUAUUAAAAUCUUACAUGAUCUGAGUUCAAACCGGUGUGAGCCAGGUUGGUUUCUAUCUUUUAUUUUUUAUUAAAUAGAUUUUAGUACGAAAGGAAUUAAUUUAAUAAUUUAUAUUAAUAAUAAUUGACUUCUUUUAGUUUUAUUAAUUAAAAUUA
RNAcentral lists this ribosomal RNA (1353 nucleotides) under Nyctiophylax orbicularis. RNAcentral's name for it is "16S ribosomal RNA". Lineage: Eukaryota; Metazoa; Arthropoda; Insecta; Trichoptera; Polycentropodidae. The record is from RNAcentral.